RNAcentral lists this ribosomal RNA (626 nucleotides) under mycorrhizal fungal sp. pkc13. RNAcentral describes it as "eukaryotic LSU rRNA". It matches the Rfam family "Eukaryotic large subunit ribosomal RNA", at positions 1 to 640 of the family's 3401-position model. The record is from RNAcentral. Lineage: Eukaryota; Fungi.
UUGACCUCGGAUCGGGUAGGGAUACCCGCUGAACUUAAGCAUAUCAAUAAGCGGAGGAAAAGAAACCAACAGGGAUUGCCUUAGUAACGGCGAGUGAAGCGGCAACAGCUCAAAUUUGAAAUCUGGCUCUUUCAGAGUCCGAGUUGUAAUUUGUAGAAGAUGCUUCGAGUGUGGUACCGGUCUAAGUUCCUUGGAACAGGACGUCAUAGAGGGUGAGAAUCCCGUAUGUGACUGGUCACCUUCGCUCAUGUGAAGCUCUUUCGACGAGUCGAGUUGUUUGGGAAUGCAGCUCAAAAUGGGUGGUAAAUUUCAUCUAAAGCUAAAUAUUGGCCAGAGACCGAUAGCGCACAAGUAGAGUGAUCGAAAGAUGAAAAGCACUUUGGAAAGAGAGUUAAACAGUACGUGAAAUUGUUGAAAGGGAAGCGCUUGCAACCAGACUUGCACGUAGUUAAUCAUCCGGGGUUCUCCCCGGUGCACUUGGCUACGUUCAGGCCAGCAUCGGUUUUGGUGGUUGGAUAAAGGCCUAGGGAAUGUGGCUCUCUUCGGGGAGUGUUAUAGCCCUAGGUGCAAUGCAGCCUACUGGGACCGAGGACCGCGCUUCGGCUAGGAUGCUGGCGUAAUGGUUG